RNAcentral lists this ribosomal RNA (450 nucleotides) under uncultured bacterium. RNAcentral describes it as "partial 16S ribosomal RNA". It matches the Rfam family "Bacterial small subunit ribosomal RNA", at positions 354 to 796 of the family's 1533-position model. The record is from RNAcentral.
GUGGGGAAUAUUGGACAAUGGGCGAAAGCCUGAUCCAGCCAUGCCGCGUGUGUGAAGAAGGUCUUCGGAUUGUAAAGCACUUUAAGUUGGGAGGAAGGGCAGUAAGUUAAUACCUUGCUGUUUUGACGUUACCGACAGAAUAAGCACCGGCUAACUUCGUGCCAGCAGCCGCGGUAAUACGAAGGGUGCAAGCGUUAAUCGGAAUUACUGGGCGUAAAGCGCGCGUAGGUGGUUUUGUAAGUUGGAGGUGAAAUCCCCGGGCUCAACCUUGGAACUGCCUCCAAAACUGCAUGACUAGAGUACGGUAGAGGGUAGUGGAAUUUCCUGUGUAGCGGUGAAAUGCGUAGAUAUAGGAAGGAACACCAGUGGCGAAGGCGACUACCUGGACUGAUACUGACACUGAGGUGCGAAAGCGUGGGGAGCAAACAGGAUUAGAAACCCUAGUAGUCC